Long non-coding RNA from Peromyscus eremicus (cactus mouse), 1601 nucleotides. RefSeq lists it as uncharacterized. Lineage: Eukaryota; Metazoa; Chordata; Mammalia; Rodentia; Cricetidae. The record is from RefSeq and is a predicted model, not a curated record. The transcript has 6 exons.
UCCCAGUAGAAGCAUCCAGAGCAGGGUUUGGUCUCAGGGGUGCUCACAAACAGGCCAGGCAGGACUUAGGUACCAUGGAGGCCAGGUUUCACGGCCCUUGCCUCCCCUGAGAAGCUUCUUCUCUGUCAUGCAGGACACACAUGCAGGCCGAAUACUCCUUCCUGUGUUCUCCUGCUUAGCUCACCUUUGCCUUAAACCAGGUAGAACCCCCAGGAUCAAAGGUCGAAAAGCCCCUUGUCCUGCACUGCCCUGUCCAGACACCAUCUCAACAGGAAGAAUACUUGGAGAAGGCUCUGAAAUUAACAGAGGGCAGUAUGUGGAGUCCUAGACCUGCUGUGUGUGUGUGUGUGUGUGUGUGUGUGUGUGUGUGUGUGUGUAUUGGGUGUUUGUGAGUGCCUGGGUUUAUUGUGGUGUAGUCCUGUUUGGGUCCAUAAGAGGUGUCUGAGAGGCACAGUAUAUAAGAGUUAUUGUGGUCAGGUCCAGGUUGAUGGGGAAGGACAGGUUGGCAUGUAGGGGAAGCCUUUUAGGGCUCCAUCCUUCAGCUCCAGCUCAGGUGAGCACAAUGUUUGGAGUGGUGCAUUUUGUUUGUGGGUUGGAGCUCAGGGGCGUGCUGGGGUGUGUGUGUGCUGCAGGCAUCCUGGUGUUAAGAGUGAGAAUUGCUUCUUGUCCCUCAGCUUCUAUGUUGCCUGUCCUUGGUCAGCUUGAAUCUCUUGAGAGAGCUGAGUCCUGUGUGUGCCUAGGCCCUGCCACAGGGCCGUGGAUGGCCUGCCUGUUGAGGCGAGUUUAUGGAUGUCCCUGGCCCCCAGUGGUCCCUGCUUUGGAUGAUUUGGGGCAAUUCCAUCUGAAUGCACAUCACUACCAAGUCCAAGGUUUUGGAAGGAAGCCCUUCUCCUCUCCCAUCUCAAGAUUACACCAUGGGACCCUGGAAGAGGGGACUCAGGCCCCUGUCCCUGGAUCCUUGACCAGUGCACACUGCUGCCUGCCUUUUCCUUGUGUCCAUCCGUGAACAGCCUUCUGCCAGCUUCUAUGUUACCUGUCCUCAGUCCACUUGAAUCUCUUGAGAGAGCUGAAUCCUGUGUGUGCCUAGGCCCUGCCACAGGGACCUGGACGAUCUGCCUUUUGAGACAAGGUUGUUGAUGUCCUGUGCCCCCGGUGGACCCUGCUUCUGGUGAUGUGGGGCAGCAUCCACUUGAAUGCUCUUCACCACGAAGCCCAAGAUUUUGGAAGGAAGCCCUUCUCCUCUCCUAUCUCAAUAUGAGACCAUCAGUCCAUGGGCAGUAGUCUCCCCUGGUGUCACAACUUUCUGUGUGCUCUUGGUUCUGGGACACCACCACCCCACUGCUCUAGCAGGUCCGGGGGCAGCCUUGGAGGCCCCUUCUUUGCUCGCCGCCUUGACCUGGAAGCUUGGGUCAGCAGACCUAAGGCCAUCCUGGCAGCUGUACUGCUCACCCUGAAAAUAUUUAUACAAAGAUCAAGAUUGUUAUCCAUUAAAAGUUCACAUUUUAAGUAUUCGGCCUCCAGAUUUCUGUCCUCAAACUCCUGCCUUGACUUCCUUCCACAGUGGACUGUCACCUGUAAGCCAAAUAAACCCUUUCCCAGAA